UGACCUCAAAUCAGGUAGGACUACCCGCUGAACUUCAAGCAUAUCAAUAAGCGGAGGAA
Molecule: ribosomal RNA, 59 nt
Filed under: Pallidohirschioporus biformis
Lineage: Eukaryota; Fungi; Basidiomycota; Agaricomycetes; Hymenochaetales; Hirschioporaceae
Description: Trichaptum biforme partial 28S ribosomal RNA
Source: RNAcentral